RNAcentral lists this transfer RNA (72 nucleotides) under Bos taurus (domestic cattle). It matches the Rfam family "tRNA". Rfam says of the family: Transfer RNA (tRNA) molecules are approximately 80 nucleotides in length. Their secondary structure includes four short double-helical elements and three loops (D, anti-codon, and T loops). Further hydrogen bonds mediate the characteristic L-shaped molecular structure. tRNAs have two regions of fundamental functional importance: the anti-codon, which is responsible for specific mRNA codon recognition, and the 3' end, to which the tRNAs corresponding amino acid is attached (by aminoacyl-tRNA synthetases). tRNAs cope with the degeneracy of the genetic code in two manners: having more than one tRNA (with a specific anti-codon) for a particular amino acid; and 'wobble' base-pairing, i.e. permitting non-standard base-pairing at the 3rd anti-codon position. The record is from Rfam by way of RNAcentral. Lineage: Eukaryota; Metazoa; Chordata; Mammalia; Artiodactyla; Bovidae. RNAcentral also lists the same sequence under 3 other names.
UUCCAGGUUGUCCAGUGGUUAGGACUUGGCACUCUCACUGCCCGAGCCUGGGUUCAAGCCCUGGUCAGGGAA